Long non-coding RNA from Gasterosteus aculeatus aculeatus (three-spined stickleback), 466 nucleotides. The record is from Ensembl. NCBI's taxonomy places the organism in Eukaryota, Metazoa, Chordata, Actinopteri, Perciformes, Gasterosteidae.
GUGGAUGUUAUCCGGACCUGUGUGGAAGAGACCUGCUGGCAGCGCUGGGAUGUACUCACACAUUCUCGCAAUAGCAGUGUUCAGAUGUGUGAGGCGCAGUUUCUCCUUCGGGGGAAGAUCUCCGGAGAAGUUGACCUGUGGCACAAAAACGUCAGCAGAUGGAAAAGUCAGUUGAACGCUUCUGAGGGCCCUCUGCAGCUGUUUGAUGGCCGUCUCCUGCGUUUUUUGGACCCGGUUAUUAAUGCCGAAGGCCAAAAUGACCUUCUGCACCGUGACCUCAGAGGUCGUCUUGUUCAUCAGGAGAUCUGCGUUCCUGAAGGUGCCCCCUGGAAAAGCAUCCACCUGCAGAUCCUCGAUGUUGUGGGCUGGCAGUUUGUACACAUUGGAGUCUCCAAUGAUGAGCCACUUCCUGGUCACAUGGAGACUCCAAUCCUGUGCCUUCCGCGCGGUGGACUGGUGUCUGCAU